UACGUAGGUGGCAAGCGUUGUCCGGAAUUAUUGGGCGUAAAGCGCGCGUAGGCGGCCACUUAAGUCGGAUGUGAAAGCCCCUGGCUCAACUGGGGAAGUGCACCCGAAACUGAAUGGCUUGAGUGCGAAAGAGGGUCGCGGAAUUCCCGGUGUAGAGGUGAAAUUCGUAGAUAUCGGGAGGAACACCGGUGGCGAAGGCGGCGACCUGGGUCGACACUGACGCUGAGGCGCGAAAGCGUGGGGAGCAAACAGG
RNAcentral lists this ribosomal RNA (253 nucleotides) under uncultured bacterium. Its description in RNAcentral is "partial 16S ribosomal RNA". It matches the Rfam family "Bacterial small subunit ribosomal RNA", at positions 524 to 776 of the family's 1533-position model. The record is from RNAcentral.